Molecule: ribosomal RNA, 440 nt
Filed under: uncultured bacterium
Lineage: Bacteria
Description: partial 16S ribosomal RNA
Rfam family: Bacterial small subunit ribosomal RNA
Source: RNAcentral
CCUACGGGUGGCUGCAGUAGGGAAUAUUGCUCAAUGGGGGAAACCCUGAUGCAGCAACGCCGCGUGGGGGAUGAAGGAUUUAGGAUUGUAAACCCCUUUCAUUAGGGAAGAAUAUGACGGUAUCUGACUAAUAAGCACCGGCUAACUCCGUGCCAGCAGCCGCGGUAAUACGGAGGGGGCAAGCGUUAUCCGGAUUUACUGGGUGUAAAGGGUGCGUAGGCGGGGGCACAAGUCUGGAGUGAAAUGCCGUGGCUUAACCACAGAACUGCAUUGGAAACUGUGCAUCUAGAGUGCAGGAGAGGUAAGUGGAAUGCCUGGUGUAGCGGUGAAAUGCGUAGAGAUUAGGAGGAAUACCAGUGGCGAAGGCGACUUACUGGAAUAUAACUGACGCUGAUGCACGAAAGCGUGGGGAGCAAACAGGAUUAGAUACCCCAGUAGUC